Molecule: ribosomal RNA, 458 nt
Filed under: uncultured bacterium
Lineage: Bacteria
Description: partial 16S ribosomal RNA
Rfam family: Bacterial small subunit ribosomal RNA
Source: RNAcentral
GAUUAACGCUGGCGGCGCGCCUAACACAUGCAAGUCGAGCGGAAAGGCCCUUCGGGGUACUCGAGCGGCGGACGGCUGAGUAACGCGUGGGAACAUGCCCCAAAGUGAGGAAUAACUGCCCGAAAGGGUAGCUAAUGCCGCAUAUGAUCUUCGGAUUAAAGGAUUUAUCCGCUUUGGGAGUGGCCCGCGUACGAUUAGGUAGUCGGUGAGGUAAAGGCUCACCAAGCCUACGAUCGUUAACUGGUCUGAGAGGAUGAUCAGUCAGACUGGAACUGAGACACGGUCCAGACUCCUACGGGAGGCAGCAGUGAGGAACCUUCCACAAUGGGCGAAAGCCUGAUGGAGCGACGCCGCGUGCAGGAUGAAGGCCUUCGGGUUGUAAACUGCUUUUAUAAGUGAAGAAUAUGACGGUAACUUAUGAAUAAGCACCGGCUAACUACGUGCCAGCCGCCGCCUAA